Molecule: ribosomal RNA, 537 nt
Filed under: uncultured archaeon
Lineage: Archaea
Description: bacterial SSU rRNA
Rfam family: Archaeal small subunit ribosomal RNA
Source: RNAcentral
GGCAGCCGCCGCGGGAAUACCAGCUCCCCGAGUGGUCAGGACGAUUAUUGGGCUUAAAGCAUCCGUAGCCGGCUUUGUAGGUCUCUGUAAUCCAACGGCCAACCGUGGUCGCAGGGAUACCGCGGAGCUAGGGGGCGGGAGAGGCGGACGGUACUCCAUAGGUAGGGGUAAAAUCCUUUGAUCUAUGGAAGACCACCAGUGGCGAAGGCGGUCCGCUAGAACGCGCCCGACGGUGAGGGAUGAAAGCUGGGGGAGCGAACCGGAUUAGAUACCCGGGUAGUCCCAGCUGUAAACGAUGCAGGCUAGGUGAUAGAGAGGCUACGUGCCUCCCUAGUGCCGCAGGGAAACCGAUAAGCCUGCCGCCUGGGGAGUACGAUCGCAAGGUUGAAACUUAAAGGAAUUGGGCGGGGGAGCACCACGAAAGGGGUGAAGCCUGCGGUUCAAUUGGAGUCAACGCCGGGAACCUUACCGAAGGGUGACAGCAGAAUGAAGGUCACGCUAAAGACAUUACCAGACAAGCUGAGGAGUGGUGCAUGG